AGUUCCAACCUGAGUGUGGGAGCAUGGUUAACAUGAGUUCGGAGACCCCUCGAGAAAGGGGUUUCUAUGGAACCACUGAAGACCCCAGGACUGGGGCUUUCUGCAGAGACCCCCGGGACGGGGGAUUCGACUCUGCAUGCCAGCUUUCGGAGACCCCCGGGACGGGGGUUUCUGUCAAGCCACCUUGGAGACCCCAGGACUGGGGUCUUCCGCUGAGACUGGCGGAUUCUGCAGACCCCCGGGGUGGGGGUUUGUGCGAAACCACUUUGCAGACCCCCAGGACUGGGGGUUGUCUACAGAGACCCUCAGGAUGGGGGGUUUCUGGACACUUAAUUUUGGAGGCCCCCUGUGAUGGGGGGGAUCCGCAGACUUACUUUUGGAGUCCCCCCGUGACGGGGGGAUUCUGCAGACUCAAUUUGAAUGCAAUGUUAAAAAAAGCGUCAUUCGUACCCGGAUGAGGUGUCUUACCCGCUGCAGAUGCGUGGCGAAUGGGGGUGCAGUCUCCUUCAGGGAGUCUGUGCUUGGGCUUGAAGUGCACUCUCCAGACUUGUAGGAGUGUGUCCGCCUCGAGGGUGCGUCUGACCCGGUGUCACCAGCUGCGAGUUUUGGGGACUCUGGCCUCCUGCAUGGGAGGACGAAGGCUGGUGACUUCCGUGAACGGUCUUCCCUGCACUCCCCCUCCGGGGGGAGUACUAUUCCUCACAGUAUCUUGAAUGCAGAAAAAAAGUAGGACUUUAAUGUCUGAAAAAAAUUAAUGAUGACAACUCUGAGCAGUGGAUCACUCGGCUCACGGGUCGAUGAAGAACGCAGCCAGCUGCGAGACUUGGUGUGAAUUGCAGGACACAUUGAGCACUUACUUUUCGAACGCACAUUGCGGCCUCGGGUCCUACCCGGGGCCACGUCUGUCUGAGGGUCGGAUUAUGCUUGCAGAAGGGAGUUUCUUCCUGAUUGGUUGUGCCGGAUGCGUCCGCCGACCUAAAUUGUGCGAGUUUUCGACCCCGGCCGAGAGGCAUGCCACGAGAGGAUGUCCGAGAGCGGGAGUGGCGAAGUGCCUGCCUGCAAGCUUGGACCAGUGGUGGAAGCCUGUGCUGGGGAAUUCAGAUGUGGAGUCAAUCUCCUACUUAACUUUGUCGACCUCAGAUCAGGCGAGACGACCCGCUGAAUUUAAGCAUAUAACUAAGCGGAGGAAAAGAAACCAACCAGGAUUCCCUC
This 1212-nucleotide ribosomal RNA is filed under the name Cicurina sp. TK188690. Its description in RNAcentral is "eukaryotic LSU rRNA". The stretch from base 763 to 916 matches the Rfam family "5.8S ribosomal RNA". The record is from RNAcentral. Lineage: Eukaryota; Metazoa; Arthropoda; Arachnida; Araneae; Dictynidae.